This 720-nucleotide ribosomal RNA is filed under the name uncultured bacterium. RNAcentral's name for it is "bacterial SSU rRNA". It matches the Rfam family "Bacterial small subunit ribosomal RNA", at positions 8 to 774 of the family's 1533-position model. The record is from RNAcentral.
AGAGUUUGAUCAUGGCUCAGAACGAACGCUGGCGGCAGGCCUUAUACAUGCAAGUCGAGCGCAUCCUUCGGGAUGAGCGGCGGACGGGUGAGUAACGCGUGGGAAUGUGCCCUUCUCUACGGAAUAGCCACUGGAAACGGUGAGUAAUACCGUAUACGCCCUUAGGGGGAAAGAUUUAUCGGAGAAGGAUCAGCCCGCGUUAGAUUAGGUAGUUGGCGGGGUAACGGCCUACCAAGCCUACGAUCUAUAGCUGGUUUUAGAGGAUGAUCAGCCACACUGGGACUGAGACACGGCCCAGACUCCUACGGGAGGCAGCAGUAGGGAAUCUUGGACAAUGGGGGAAACCCUGAUCCAGCCAUGCCGCGUGAGUGAAGAAGGCCUUAGGGUCGUAAAGCUCUUUCGCCUGUGAUGAUAAUGACAGUAGCAGGUAAAGAAACCCCGGCUAACUCCGUGCCAGCAGCCGCGGUAAUACGGAGGGGGUUAGCGUUGUUCGGAAUUACUGGGCGUAAAGCGCGCGUAGGCGGAUUGGAAAGUUGGGGGUGAAAUCCCGGGGCUCAACCCCGGAACUGCCUCCAAAACUGCCAGUCUAGAGUUCGAGAGAGGUGAGUGGAACUCCAAGUGUAGAGGUGAAAUUCGUAGAUAUUUGGAAGAACACCAGUGGCGAAGGCGGCUCACUGGCUCGAUACUGACGCUGAGGUGCGAAAGUGUGGGGAGCAAACA